Molecule: ribosomal RNA, 275 nt
Filed under: uncultured bacterium
Lineage: Bacteria
Description: partial small subunit ribosomal RNA
Rfam family: Bacterial small subunit ribosomal RNA
Source: RNAcentral
AGAAUCAACGCUGGCGGCGUGCCUCAGACAUGCAAGUCGAACGCGAAAGUCCCCUUCGGGGGACAAGUAGAGUGGCGCACGGGUGAGUAACACGUAGGUAAUCUACCUUUGGAUGGGGAAUAACAACCGGAAACGGUUGCUAAUACCGCAUAAUGCAGCGGCACCUAAUGGUGACAGUUGUUAAAGCGGGGGAUCGAAAGACCUCGCGUCUGAAGAGGAGCCUGCGGCGGAUUAGCUAGUUGGUAAGGUAAUGGCUUACCAAGGCUACGAUCCGU